RNAcentral lists this ribosomal RNA (1416 nucleotides) under marine metagenome. Its description in RNAcentral is "bacterial LSU rRNA". It matches the Rfam family "Bacterial large subunit ribosomal RNA", at positions 1104 to 2541 of the family's 2925-position model. The record is from RNAcentral.
GCUUGGAAGCAGCCAUUCAUUUAAAGAGUGCGUAACAGCUCACUAGUCGAGCGGUUUUGCAUGGAUAAUAAUCGGGCAUAAACAUAUUACCGAAGCUAUGGAUUUGUAUUAUAUACAAGUGGUAGGGGAGCAUUGUAACCUGCGUAGAAGGUGUGUUGUGAGGCAUGCUGGAGUGGUUACAAAAGAAAAUGUAGGCAUAAGUAACGAUAAUGCGGGCGAGAAACCCGCACACCGAAAGACUAAGGUUUCCUCAGCGAUGCUAAUCAGCUGAGGGUUAGUCGGGUCCUAAGGCGAAUCCGAAGGGAGUAGUCGAUGGAUAACAGGUUAAUAUUCCUGUACUUCUUAUAAUUGCGAUGGGGUGACGGAGUAUUGAAAGCACCGCGAACUGACGGAAUAGUUCGUUAAAGUACGUAGCUAUAGAACCAGAUUAAGAGUUAGGUUUUGGCAAAGUACGAUAGUACCACAAAGCUUCGGCAGCGUGGAUAGUGUGCCUAAAAGCUUCCAAGAAAAACCUCUAAGCUUCAGAUUAUAAGAACCCGUACCGUAAACCGACACAGGUAGUUGGGAUGAGAAUUCUAAGGUGCUCGAGAGAUUCAUGGCUAAGGAACUAGGCAAAAUAGACCCGUAACUUCGGGAGAAGGGUCGCCACGCUUUACGGCGUGGCCGCAGUGAAAAGGUCCAGGCGACUGUUUAUCAAAAACACAGGGCUUUGCUAAAUUGAAAGAUGAUGUAUAAGGCCUGACACCUGCCCGGUGCUGGAAGGUUAAGUGGAGGGUUUAGCUUCGGCGAAGAUCUGAAAUGAAGCCCCAGUAAACGGCGGCCGUAACUAUAACGGUCCUAAGGUAGCGAAAUUCCUUGUCGGGUAAGUUCCGACCUGCACGAAUGGUGCAACGAUCUGGACACUGUCUCAGCCAUGAGCUCGGUGAAAUUGUAGUAUCGGUGAAGAUGCCGAUUACCCGCAGCGGGACGAAAAGACCCCGUGAACCUUUACUAUAGCUUAGUAUUGGCUUUGGAUAAGUAAUGUGUAGGAUAGGUGGGAGACAUUGAAGCGGCGUCGCUAGGCGUUGUGGAGUCGUCCUUGAAAUACCACCCUUUGCUUAUCUAGAGUCUAACUCAGAGAUGAGGACAGUGCUUGGUGGGUAGUUUGACUGGGGUGGUCGCCUCCAAAAGAGUAACGGAGGCUUCUAAAGGUACCCUCAGCACGCUUGGUAACCGUGCGUAGAGUGCAAUGGCAUAAGGGUGCUUGACUGAGAGACCUACAAGUCGAUCAGGUUGGAAACAAGAGCAUAGUGAUCCGGUGGUUCCGCAUGGAAGGGCCAUCGCUCAAAGGAUAAAAGGUACUCCGGGGAUAACAGGCUGAUCUCCCCCAAGAGCUCAUAUCGACGGGGGGGUUUGGCACCUCGAUGUCGGCUCGUC